GUAAAGAAAGGCUAUGUUCUCUUAACAAGGAUGGAAAGUAUAACGGCAUACAAAAACCAACGUGGACAAACCAGAUCUGAAACUCCAGAACAAUCUGACACUCCAGUGUCUGCUAAUGACAUGUGUUCCCUUGCUGAAUGGCCAUCCCAUGCUCGCGGCAACCGUGCGCUACUACAGGAUGAAGCUGGUGGACAGAAGAAGAAAGGGCGAGGUGUUCUAAAAGGUUUUAAAGCAUCUAAGAAGCGUUUUGCCAAUGGAUCUGCAAAGCUAAAUAUUACAUUCUCUGAAAAAUUGGGUGGUACAGUAGGAAUGAACUAUCGUUCGUUCAAGGAUGACGUGGUAGUCAUAAUGAAAAGAAAGCUACCACUCAUUGGAGUGAGGACGUGGUCAGACAUUCACCCUACCAUUCAUCGACUCAUUGUUGCAGAUAUGAUAGACAAAUGGGACCCGGAAGAUACACCAGAAACAGAAGAAAAAGUUCUCAAAAUUGCGAAAGAGCAAUAUAGAGGCUGGCGAUCAACUCUAAGCUCCACUUACAAGGCAUACAAAACAGAUACAACUAGAUUGGCUAAUCUGCCGGAAGAUUUGCAACCAGAAGAGUGGGAAUGGAUGAUUGAGUACUUUGGCACUGAUUCAAAAUUUCAGGAUCACAGCCAAACGAACACUGAUAACCGUAAGAAACAGAAGACAAAACACAUAAUCGGAUCAAAAUCUUACUCGCAAGUUAGUUUUGAGAAGAGAAACUUGGAAACUGGAGAAGAGCCAGAUUGUAUUGCUCUGUGGGAACUCACCCACACGAACGAUGGAACAUGGUUUAACACAGAUUCCCAGAAAGUUUACGACAAAGUACUUCAAGAGGUUAAAAUCAAAGAAACUGAAGGUCCACUUUCAAGUGAGCAGAAAAACAAUAUUUUCCAGACCGCUUACAAAGACACUCUGGAAUGCAAGUCAUCGCAGCCUCGUGGGUACGGAUACAUGGCCAAAACUUCAACUGGUUCUGAAAGGUUUCGUAUCUAG
This 1017-nucleotide ribosomal RNA is filed under the name Triticum aestivum (bread wheat). RNAcentral describes it as "partial small subunit ribosomal RNA". Lineage: Eukaryota; Viridiplantae; Streptophyta; Magnoliopsida; Poales; Poaceae. The record is from RNAcentral.